CCCUUAGAUGUUCUGGGCCACACGCGCGCUACACUGAUGCAUUCAACAAGUUCUACCUUGGCCGAGAGGCCUGGGAAAUCUUUCAAAUAUGUAUCGUGAUAGGGAUAGAUUAUUGCAAUUAUUAAUCUUGAACGAGGAAUUCCUAGUAAAUGCAGAUCAUCAUUCUGCGUUGAUUACGUCCCUGCCCUUUGUACACACCGCCCGUCGCACCUACCGAUUGAAUGAUCCGGUGAAGCCUCGGGAUUGUGCCCAGAGAACUUUAUUGUGAUUUGGGUGUGAGAACUUGUCUAAACCUUAUCAUUUAGAGGAAGGUGAAGUCGUAACA
This 325-nucleotide ribosomal RNA is filed under the name uncultured eukaryote. RNAcentral describes it as "partial 18S ribosomal RNA". It matches the Rfam family "Eukaryotic small subunit ribosomal RNA", at positions 1470 to 1796 of the family's 1831-position model. The record is from RNAcentral.